This 1353-nucleotide ribosomal RNA is filed under the name bacterium KA62. RNAcentral's name for it is "16S ribosomal RNA". It matches the Rfam family "Bacterial small subunit ribosomal RNA", at positions 75 to 1427 of the family's 1533-position model. The record is from RNAcentral.
CUUGUUUCUCGGGUGGCGAGCGGCGGACGGGUGAGUAAUGCCUGGGAAAUUGCCCUGAUGUGGGGGAUAACCAUUGGAAACGAUGGCUAAUACCGCAUGAUGCCUACGGGCCAAAGAGGGGGACCUUCGGGCCUCUCGCGUCAGGAUAUGCCCAGGUGGGAUUAGCUAGUUGGUGAGGUAAGGGCUCACCAAGGCGACGAUCCCUAGCUGGUCUGAGAGGAUGAUCAGCCACACUGGAACUGAGACACGGUCCAGACUCCUACGGGAGGCAGCAGUGGGGAAUAUUGCACAAUGGGCGCAAGCCUGAUGCAGCCAUGCCGCGUGUGUGAAGAAGGCCUUCGGGUUGUAAAGCACUUUCAGUAGGGAGGAAGGUGGUGUGUGAAUAGCGCUAUCAUUUGACGUUACCUACAGAAGAAGCACCGGCUAACUCCGUGCCAGCAGCCGCGGUAAUACGGAGGGUGCGACGUUAAUCGGAAUUACUGGGCGUAAAGCGCAUGCAGGUGGUUUGUUAAGUCAGAUGUGAAAGCCCCGGGCUCAACCUGGGAAUUGCAUUUGAAACUGGCAAACUAGAGUACUGUAGAGGGGGGUAGAAUUUCAGGUGUAGCGGUGAAAUGCGUAGAGAUCUGAAGGAAUACCGGUGGCGAAGGCGGCCCCCUGGACAGAUACUGACACUCAGAUGCGAAAGCGUGGGGAGCAAACAGGAUUAGAUACCCUGGUAGUCCACGCCGUAAACGAUGUCUACUUGGAGGUUGUGGCCUUGAGCCGUGGCUUUCGGAGCUAACGCGUUAAGUAGACCGCCUGGGGAGUACGGUCGCAAGAUUAAAACUCAAAUGAAUUGACGGGGGCCCGCACAAGCGGUGGAGCAUGUGGUUUAAUUCGAUGCAACGCGAAGAACCUUACCUACUCUUGACAUCCAGAGAAUCUGGCGGAGACGCUGGAGUGCCUUCGGGAGCUCUGAGACAGGUGCUGCAUGGCUGUCGUCAGCUCGUGUUGUGAAAUGUUGGGUUAAGUCCCGCAACGAGCGCAACCCUUAUCCUUGUUUGCCAGCAGUCAUGUCGGGAACUCCAGGGAGACUGCCGGUGAUAAACCGGAGGAAGGUGGGGACGACGUCAAGUCAUCAUGGCCCUUACGAGUAGGGCUACACACGUGCUACAAUGGCGCAUACAGAGGGCGGCCAACUUGCGAAAGUGAGCGAAUCCCAAAAAGUGCGUCGUAGUCCGGAUUGGAGUCUGCAACUCGACUCCAUGAAGUCGGAAUCGCUAGUAAUCGUGGAUCAGAAUGCCAUCGGUGAAUACGUUCCCGGGCCUUGUACACACCGCCCGUCACACCAUGGGAGUGGGCUGCAAAAGAAGU